AUUGAACGCUGGCGGCAGGCCUAACACAUGCAAGUCGAGCGGAUGAGUGGAGCUUGCUCCAUGAUUCAGCGGCGGACGGGUGAGUAAUGCCUAGGAAUCUGCCUGGUAGUGGGGGGACAACGUUUCGAAAGGAACGCUAAUACCGCAUACGUCCUACGGGAGAAAGUGGGGGAUCUUCGGACCUCACGCUAUCAGAUGAGCCUAGGUCGGAUUAGCUAGUUGGUGAGGUAAAGGCUCACCAAGGCGACGAUCCGUAACUGGUCUGAGAGGAUGAUCAGUCACACUGGAACUGAGACACGGUCCAGACUCCUACGGGAGGCAGCAGUGGGGAAUAUUGGACAAUGGGCGAAAGCCUGAUCCAGCCAUGCCGCGUGUGUGAAGAAGGUCUUCGGAUUGUAAAGCACUUUA
RNAcentral lists this ribosomal RNA (408 nucleotides) under uncultured bacterium. Its description in RNAcentral is "bacterial SSU rRNA". It matches the Rfam family "Bacterial small subunit ribosomal RNA", at positions 30 to 437 of the family's 1533-position model. The record is from RNAcentral.